RNAcentral lists this ribosomal RNA (500 nucleotides) under uncultured bacterium. RNAcentral describes it as "partial 16S ribosomal RNA". It matches the Rfam family "Bacterial small subunit ribosomal RNA", at positions 30 to 523 of the family's 1533-position model. The record is from RNAcentral.
AUUGAACGCUGGCGGAAUGCUUUACACAUGCAAGUCGAACGGCAGCACGGACUUCGGUCUGGUGGCGAGUGGCGAACGGGUGAGUAAUAUAUCGGAACGUGCCCAGUCGUGGGGGAUAACGUAGCGAAAGUUACGCUAAUACCGCAUACGAUCUACGGAUGAAAGCGGGGGAUCGCAAGACCUCGCGCGAUUGGAGCGGCCGAUAUCAGAUUAGGUAGUUGGUGGGGUAAAGGCUCACCAAGCCAACGAACUGUAGCUGGUCUGAGAGGACGACCAGCCACACUGGAACUGAGACACGGUCCAGACUCCUACGGGAGGCAGCAGUGGGUAAUUUUGGACAAUGGACGCAAGUCUGAUCCAGCCAUUCCGCGUGCAGGAUGAAGGCCCUCGGGUUGUAAGCUGCUUUUGUACAGAACGAAAAGGCUCGUCCUAAUACGGAGGGCUCAUGACGGUACUGUAAGAAUAAGCACCGGCUAACUACGUGCCAGCCGCCGCCGUAA